This 492-nucleotide ribosomal RNA is filed under the name uncultured bacterium. RNAcentral's name for it is "partial 16S ribosomal RNA". It matches the Rfam family "Bacterial small subunit ribosomal RNA", at positions 29 to 507 of the family's 1533-position model. The record is from RNAcentral.
AGUGAACGCUGGCGGUAGGCCUAACACAUGCAAGUCGAACGGCAGCACAGUAAGAGCUUGCUCUUACGGGUGGCGAGUGGCGGACGGGUGAGGAAUACAUCGGAAUUUACUUUUUCGUGGGGGAUAACGUAGGGAAACUUACGCUAAUACCGCAUACGACCUACGGGUGAAAGCAGGGGAUCUUCGGACCUUGCGCGAUUGAAUGAGCCGAUGUCGGAUUAGCUAGUUGGCGGGGUAAAGGCCCACCAAGGCGACGAUCCGUAGCUGGUCUGAGAGGAUGAUCAGCCACACUGGAACUGAGACACGGUCCAGACUCCUACGGGAGGCAGCAGUGGGGAAUAUUGGACAAUGGGCGCAAGCCUGAUCCAGCCAUACCGCGUGGGUGAAGAAGGCCUUCGGGUUGUAAAGCCCUUUUGUUGGGAAAGAAAAGCAGCGGGUUAAUACCCCGCUGUUCUGACGGUACCCAAAGAAUAAGCACCGGCUAACUUCGUG